AGCAGCCGCGGUAAUUCCAGCUCCAAUAGCGUAUAUUAAAGUUGUUGCAGUUAAAAAGCUCGUAGUUGAAUUUCGGGAUUGACACAUCGGUCGUGCCUUAAGGGGUGUGAACUGGUGUAGUCAAUUUCUCACCUUCUGGAGAACCGCGAUGUCCUUAAUUGGGUGCCGCGAGGAACCAGGACCUUUACUUUGAAAAAAUUAGAGUGUUUAAAGCAGGCAUUUUUGCUUGAAUACAUUAGCAUGGAAUAAUAAAAUAGGACGGCAUGAUUCUAUUUUGUUGGUUUCUAGGAUCACCGUAAUGAUUAAUAGGGAUAGUUGGGGGCAUUAGUAUUCAAUUGUCACAGGUGAAAUUCUUGGAUUUAUUGAAGACUAACUACUGCGAAAGCAUUUGCCAGGGAUGUUUUCAUUAAUCAAGAACGAAAGUUAGGGGAUCGAAGACGAUCAGAUACCGUCGUAGUCUUAACCAUAAACUAUGCCGACUAGGAAUCAGACGAUGUUAAUUUUUUAAUGACUCG
This 515-nucleotide ribosomal RNA is filed under the name Glomus sp. Glo26. RNAcentral's name for it is "SSU rRNA". It matches the Rfam family "Eukaryotic small subunit ribosomal RNA", at positions 569 to 1078 of the family's 1831-position model. The record is from RNAcentral. Lineage: Eukaryota; Fungi; Glomeromycota; Glomeromycetes; Glomerales; Glomeraceae.